This 520-nucleotide long non-coding RNA is filed under the name Trifolium pratense (red clover). Its description in RNAcentral is "long non-coding RNA (TPRA_LNC006926)". Lineage: Eukaryota; Viridiplantae; Streptophyta; Magnoliopsida; Fabales; Fabaceae. The record is from RNAcentral.
CACUUUUAAUUUAUAUGAGUUUAUGGAGUAAAUUAAGUGUGGAAAGGAUGUUGAGUUUGGAAAUGAAAAAAACAAGGUUUUGGUUGUUUUGUUGAAGUCUGAACAAACUCGUACCUUUUUGACCCCUUUACGUUUUGAUUUGGUUUUUAUCGUCAACAUGAAAGUUGUAGAUCUCUUCGUUAGCUUUCCAACGAAUAUUGGUGCGUCUCAAUUGGACAACCAGAACUCAAGUUAUGAUCGUUUCCGUAAGAGGUGGAUUCGCAGAAAUUUUCCCACACUUCCUAGCACUCGAGCCAGGCACAGCAGAGGCCCAUUUUAGGCCAAAACCUGACCAUGGGGGCUGAGCAUAGGCGCAUGGUACUGUUCACAAGUGGACUUUUGUGACUUUUAGUUGACUUUAGGGGUUUAUGCACCCGGGACCUUUGUUGCUUAGUUUUUCGCGUAGAUUUCGUUACCGAGGUUUGUUGUUGGGCUAAGGAAUGCUAUUUGGAUUUGUCUUAUGGAAGACCAUUAGUUAUAG